RNAcentral lists this transfer RNA (58 nucleotides) under Hemiselmis tepida. Lineage: Eukaryota; Cryptophyceae; Cryptomonadales; Hemiselmidaceae. The record is from RNAcentral.
GAAAAACGUUAUAAUUUUUUGAAGAAAGUUGCUGAAUUAGCAAGUCAACAUUUUAUCG